RNAcentral lists this ribosomal RNA (373 nucleotides) under uncultured bacterium. RNAcentral describes it as "bacterial SSU rRNA". It matches the Rfam family "Bacterial small subunit ribosomal RNA", at positions 523 to 898 of the family's 1533-position model. The record is from RNAcentral.
AUACGGAGGAUCCAAGCGUUAUCCGGAAUCAUUGGGUUUAAAGGGUCCGUAGGCGGCUUUAUAAGUCAGUGGUGAAAGUUUGCAGCUUAACUGUAAAAUUGCCAUUGAUACUGUAGAGCUUGAAUUUUUGUGAAGUAACUAGAAUAUGUAGUGUAGCGGUGAAAUGCUUAGAUAUUACAUGGAAUACCAAUUGCGAAGGCAGGUUACUAACAAACAAUUGACGCUGAUGGACGAAAGCGUGGGUAGCGAACAGGAUUAGAUACCCUGGUAGUCCACGCCGUAAACGAUGGAUACUAGUUGUUUGGCCGCAAGGCUGAGUGACUAAGCGAAAGUGAUAAGUAUCCCACCUGGGGAGUACGAACGCAAGUUUGAA